AAAUUGAAGAGUUUGAUCAUGGCUCAGAUUGAACGCUGGCGGCAGGCCUAACACAUGCAAGUCGAACGGUAACAGGAAACAGCUUGCUGUUUCGCUGACGAGUGGCGGACGGGUGAGUAAUGUCUGGGAAACUGCCUGAUGGAGGGGGAUAACUACUGGAAACGGUAGCUAAUACCGCAUAACGUCGCAAGACCAAAGAGGGGGACCUUAGGGCCUCUUGCCAUCGGAUGUGCCCAGAUGGGAUUA
This 246-nucleotide ribosomal RNA is filed under the name Escherichia coli. Its description in RNAcentral is "partial 16S ribosomal RNA". It matches the Rfam family "Bacterial small subunit ribosomal RNA", at positions 1 to 243 of the family's 1533-position model. The record is from RNAcentral. Lineage: Bacteria; Pseudomonadati; Pseudomonadota; Gammaproteobacteria; Enterobacterales; Enterobacteriaceae.